RNAcentral lists this ribosomal RNA (499 nucleotides) under uncultured Sphingomonas sp. RNAcentral's name for it is "bacterial SSU rRNA". It matches the Rfam family "Bacterial small subunit ribosomal RNA", at positions 53 to 599 of the family's 1533-position model. The record is from RNAcentral. Lineage: Bacteria; Pseudomonadati; Pseudomonadota; Alphaproteobacteria; Sphingomonadales; Sphingomonadaceae.
ACAUGCAGUCGAACGAAGCCUUCGGGUUUAGUGGCGCACGGGUGCGUAACGCGUGGGAAUCUGCCCCUUGGUUCGGAAUAACAGUUGGAAACGACUGCUAAUACCGGAUGAUGACGUAAGUCCAAAGAUUUAUCGCCGAGGGAUGAGCCCGCGUAGGAUUAGGUAGUUGGUGUGGUAAAGGCGCACCAAGCCGACGAUCCUUAGCUGGUCUGAGAGGAUGAUCAGCCACACUGGGACUGAGACACGGCCCAGACUCCUACGGGAGGCAGCAGUGGGGAAUAUUGGACAAUGGGCGAAAGCCUGAUCCAGCAAUGCCGCGUGAGUGAUGAAGGCCUUAGGGUUGUAAAGCUCUUUUACCCGGGAUGAUAAUGACAGUACCGGGAGAAUAAGCUCCGGCUAACUCCGUGCCAGCAGCCGCGGUAAUACGGAGGGAGCUAGCGUUAUUCGGAAUUACUGGGCGUAAAGCGCACGUAGGCGGCUUUGUAAGUAAGAGGUGAAA